This 497-nucleotide ribosomal RNA is filed under the name uncultured bacterium. RNAcentral describes it as "partial 16S ribosomal RNA". It matches the Rfam family "Bacterial small subunit ribosomal RNA", at positions 29 to 523 of the family's 1533-position model. The record is from RNAcentral.
AUUGAACGCUGGCGACAUGCCUUACACAUGCAAGUCGAACGUGAAAGGGGGCAACCCCGAGUAGAGUGGCGAACGGGUGAGUAAUGCAUCGGAACGUGCCCAGUAGUGGGGGACAACCUCGAGAAAUCGAGGCUAAUACCGCAUACGACCUACGGGUGAAAGCGGGGGACCGCGAGGCCUCGCGCUAUUGGAGCGGCCGAUGUCCGAUUAGCUUGUUGGUGGGGUAACGGCCUACCAAGGCGACGAUCGGUAGCUGGUCUGAGAGGACGACCAGCCACACUGGGACUGAGACACGGCCCAGACUCCUACGGGAGGCAGCAGUGGGGAAUUUUGGACAAUGGGGGCAACCCUGAUCCAGCCAUGCCGCGUGCGGGAAGAAGGCCUUCGGGUUGUAAACCGCUUUCGGCCGGAACGAAAUCGCCGGGGAUAACACCCCCGGUGGAUGACGGUACCGGAAGAAGAAGCACCGGCUAACUACGUGCCAGCCGCCGCCGUAA